Molecule: ribosomal RNA, 497 nt
Filed under: uncultured bacterium
Lineage: Bacteria
Description: partial 16S ribosomal RNA
Rfam family: Bacterial small subunit ribosomal RNA
Source: RNAcentral
GAUGAACGCUGGCGGCGUGCCUAAUACAUGCAAGUCGAGCGAACAGACGAGAAGCUUGCUUCUCUGAUGUUAGCGGCGGACGGGUGAGUAACACGUGGAUAACCUACCUAUAAGACUGGGAUAACUUCGGGAAACCGGAGCUAAUACCGGAUAAUAUUUUGAACCGCAUGGUUCAAUAGUGAAAGACGGUCUUGCUGUCACUUAUAGAUGGAUCCGCGCUGCAUUAGCUAGUUGGUAAGGUAACGGCUUACCAAGGCAACGAUGCAUAGCCGACCUGAGAGGGUGAUCGGCCACACUGGAACUGAGACACGGUCCAGACUCCUACGGGAGGCAGCAGUAGGGAAUCUUCCGCAAUGGGCGAAAGCCUGACGGAGCAACGCCGCGUGAGUGAUGAAGGUCUUCGGAUCGUAAAACUCUGUUAUUAGGGAAGAACAAAUGUGUAAGUAACUGUGCACAUCUUGACGGUACCUAAUCAGAAAGCCACGGCUAACUACGUG